CCCUGAGGGGUGUUCCGUUCCUUCUCUGAUCCCUGGUAACUGGGAGCAAAGUGGCCAUGUGCAGAUUCUCAACCUUCUGUGCAGAGGAGGAGCUGUGAUGUGGGAGAGGGGUAUUUCUACUUUUGGUAUUUAUCUAAGGAGAUUUUCCUUCUGAAGGAUGACAACAUUUUCCCCUCCUCUAUCCCAGAUUGGAAAAUCUGAUGGCACGAUUCCAGUGCUACCAAACUCUCAGAAUUGGCCUAAAGAAAGUGGAAGUGAGAAACACACAGGCCGGUCAGAGGCACACAGCUGCCUUCUCUCCCAGCUGACUUUGGGCAACCACACAAGGCAAAGCCAGAGGAACCAAGAAAGGUAGGGACGCAGGGCCCCAGCAGUUGUGGGUCUCUGCGAGCUGUAGGGGAUGUGCAAACAGAUGGAGGUCAGUCUAUCAGGCACUGAGAACAACGUCCCCAAGUGUCCCUUUCCUUGUCUCUGUCUCCUGUCCCGAGAAAAUCACCUCCAGCCCCUGCCAUGCAGGGCACCUCAUAUCUCAUUUAAUAUACAUUUCCUGUCAAACACUCACAAAGAGAUUCCAAGUUAACUGCUCCUUACUGAGUGGCUAGUCCGUGCCAGGCAUUGCACUAGCAACUCCCCUGGACUUUAUCUUCCAUAACUCUGACAACAGAUCCUCAGUGGUGGUCAUUGGCAUAACCACAGUGUAAAGAUGAGGAAACCAAGGCCCACAAAGGUUAAUUACUCUGUCCCAAACUGCACAGCUAUAAAUUCAAGACUAUCCCCGUCUGCCAACCACUCCUCCUCUUCUCUAAUAAAAUGAAUGAGACGAAACAGCCACUGGAAUAAUUUGGGGUUCACAUAAGCAGAAUUUCCCAAGAGCCAAUGAUGUUAAGCCUUAGAACAUAAGGAAGGGCCUUGUGGAAUCUCACCAGGCAGAUUCUGAAAUGGUCUAUCCUGCUUUUCCAUGGUGGACACCAACUUUUGAGUUGAACAACUCAGUUAGUUGUUUGAACUAACUCCAAGUUAGUAUUUGAAAAUUCUAAACAUCCCGAGCCCAUUUGACAGGUUAUAGCCAGGAUAAGAAUUUGGGGCUUCUUUGUCUCAUUGGCCAUUGUAGCCAAGCAAAAAUGCCCCCCAAAUAUUCAGUGGACAGUUGCACUGCAUCCGACUACUCUGGACCUGAAGGCCAUGCAAGAGAAGUUUAAAAGAAGGCUGAAUCGCGGAGUCCUGCCCAGUUCUUCCACUUCACGCUUGCUUUCUCUCCCUCUCUCUGAUGUUAAGGGCUGAUUUCCCUAAGGUUCUCUUUUCACCUUUUAACCAUGUGUCUGUCACCUUGGCUUGUUAAUGGCUUUGGGGCAUUCUGUGGCGCAGUAUAUCACUACGCAGUUCCACAGAGACUCCUGCCAUCCUUUCUCCUUGGUAAGGGGUUGCUUACAACUUGUAAAUUAGCACAUAGCCACAGUUAAGUGUCUACUGAAGAACUUUCCAAACAGUCUGGAAGCAUGGGUUCCAAUGAGGGAUAGCAGUAGGAUGCUUCCAGGGCAGGAACAGAAUCAGCUCGCAGCCCAGAGUUGAGCCCAAUCCCAAGAGCACCAUUUGAAGAGAUCAUCCUUCCAGGUGAGGUCACUCAGCACAUGGAACACUGGGAGAGGACACAUCCACCCGGAAGAAAACAGAAGGAAAAUAAAUGCUAGGCAUUUUUCCUCAGGAGUCCUGGCUGGAUACUUCUUCUUUUAUGCUGAAGUCUCAAGUAUCAGUUUGUUCAGAAACCUUUCUGCUCCACUUUUGGAUUUAUGCUCAGAGCAUUUUUUUUUUCUCAGAGAAUAUGGAUUGCUGAAUUUCACAGAACCCAAAGCCCCCACACCUCCUUGCCCUGUGGGUACAGGAAGGACCUAAUGGAGUCCUGAACUCCUCACGCCAUCCUGGAAAAUACAGGCUGGUUUUGCACAGGCUUCAAUGAUUACAAGGUGAUUUCCCAGGCUUUGGGGCCCAGGCCCUAACAUUAACUGGCCCAACAACAAGAGACAUUCAAAGUUGGACUGGGCUGCCUUGUGAGGGGUGAGCUUCUCACCACUGGGAAGGUGUUGUGGAGAGAGACAGUGGACGUCCUGUUUUGAAAGGGUUUUGAAAGAGGGAAUUUCUGGAUUGGGUGAGCAGCCCAAUUCUACAAAUUUUCCUAAGGUUGCCAUUCCUGUAGAGAAUAGGACGGCGGCAUGGUUGCCACAGGCCACUUGCUCGAAGUCAUUUGAUUGGUUUGUAUUAAUGUUUCGUGGUCAAAAGAAAGAUUUAAACACCACUGGCCUAAGGCU
This 2303-nucleotide long non-coding RNA is filed under the name Canis lupus familiaris (dog). RNAcentral describes it as "lncRNA (ENSCAFG00040011121.1)". Lineage: Eukaryota; Metazoa; Chordata; Mammalia; Carnivora; Canidae. The record is from RNAcentral.